Molecule: long non-coding RNA, 1989 nt
Organism: Girardinichthys multiradiatus
Lineage: Eukaryota; Metazoa; Chordata; Actinopteri; Cyprinodontiformes; Goodeidae
Exons: 2
Source: RefSeq, a predicted model, not a curated record
UGACUCAGAGUUGCAAUAAUGACUGUAGCAGAGCGGCAGAUGAAAGGUUCAGUCUGACUGUAGACAGCAGAGAGAGAAGCAGCUAGGGCUGAACACCUCUGCCUCAUACCCUCCCCACUGCUCACUGGCUUAAUACGUGUCCUGGUGAAGGCAAGCUUGUGGUCCGAAGCACAAACCGUAAAGUGUAUUAGAGGAUCUUUCAGUGCAUGGAGCAGGAUCAGCUCUAGGUCUGACCAGUGAGUGAGAAAACAUCAUCCAGAGGAGAAUUGUGCAUCGCUUGGCAGUUGAUGGAUCAUUUGCAACAGAGGCGUCCUGAUCCACGCAGGUGGAACACCGGGACACAUUCUGGACUAGCGCUGCUGAGACCAUCCUUCCAGAAAUAUUCCCUUCAUCUUCUAAAAGUCCACUAUUGAAUUUCUGACAGCGCGGGUCGGCUCUGGUUUGACCGCAGUUUGGUGCUUUAGCACUCCCCCUGGUGUUCAUCUAGAGAAUGGACCAUAUAGUGAGGGGAGAGCUUCUCAGUUUUACUGCACAUCUAGUGUCAGGAAUUUAUUUCUCUUUGUAUAAUUUUGUAUCAAGCUAUAGAUAUAAGGUUUGCUGUCCAACAAUCUGCAUUCAGAAGCUGAUUUCAAUUGGUAGCAUAGAUGUUUGUAUCCAGUCUCUAGCACCAUAUGAAAUCAGUGUUCUGGGAGGUGGACUUCCAGCGUGUAUAGACUAUACAUGAAUAAACCAAAAGUAACUUACAUUUGUGUAAGUUCUGACCACUUUGUUGCUUCAAAAACAGCUUUUUGUCAUCAAGAUUUAUCAGUUUUAUCGAGUUUCAGGUUUGAUUUUGUUCUUUGGUUUUUGUGCCCUUUUGUUUUUCUACAUUGUUCAGUUUAAAGAGUUUAGUUUCCAUGUUUUCAGAUGUUCACUUUAUACAGAAUACCAAAUGGCCAAAUUAUUUGGUUUUCUAUUGUAUAUGUAUUGUAUUGUGUAUGUAUUGUAUUGUGUAUGUAUUGUAUAUGUAUCUAUGUAUGUAUGACUCAUCAUAUUUGCUCACCAACAAAUUAUUGCUUGUGUGUUUGUAUCUGAAACAUCUCUUUGUUUUAACUGUUACCAUCAGGAGUGUCUGGGUAGCACUUGAUUCAAGCUGUAAAGGCCAUACUAAGGGAUAAUGUCGUUAUUUCAAGAAAACAAAAAACUAUUUAUCCAGAUAAUCAGAUUAGCUAGUUUGGCUAUCUCCAGUUGGCAGAUAUGGGAGGCUGUCCUCAGUGGGUAUAGUAGUCAUCGUGCAUUUGGACAGUUAUAGGUUCAAUUCCAGAUUUGUCCUGCCACAUGUCGACAUGCACCUUAGGGCAUCUAACCCUAAGGUGCCUACUGAUCUGUGUGUGCAUGUGUUGGUCAGUUCAGCUUCUUGAAUGUGGCUCUGGAGUGGUCAAUAGGACUAGAAAAGCCCUUUGCAAAUUCAGUCCAUUAACCAUGGCCUUAUAAUUUAGUCAUGCCUUCAAGAAAAUUACAUCAAGCUGAAUUAUUAGAUAUGUUUUCUCAAAUAUAAUGAGGUUUAUCCUAUACAGAGGUUGUAGGAAGACCUGAUCAGUUGAUAACGGGGUAUACCUUGGAGAGGUCUCCUGUCCAUCAUACAACCAGUAAAGAGACAAAUAAGACAAACAAACAAAUGUAUCACCUUAGUUUAACCUAACAUUCUUUGGAAAAAAAAAUUAGUACCUGGUGAAAACCCUCUCACACACAAAGAGACCACAACCACCAGCAGGCACAGAGCUUGCAACCAGGACCCUUUUCUGCUGUGAGACAACAUUGUUUUUUUAAUAAAAUCUUCACACUAUUUUCACCUACUGUUCUCUUUUUUCAGGUGGUCAGAAGCAUUUUUAUUAUGGUUGUAAUGGUUAUAAAUCAAAUAAAGUUUCUGUUGUGUUCUUAAUAACCUAUGCAGUACUUGUUAGAGCUAGAAACUUUGGUGACCUGAAUAAAGUCUGUGGAAACUUGUAA